Molecule: ribosomal RNA, 516 nt
Filed under: Tomophagus cattienensis
Lineage: Eukaryota; Fungi; Basidiomycota; Agaricomycetes; Polyporales; Polyporaceae
Description: SSU rRNA
Rfam family: Bacterial small subunit ribosomal RNA
Source: RNAcentral
UCAUAGAAUUUCUUUAAAUUCAUGAUGUCGUAAGGGAAAAUAAUGAUAAUACCUUACUAUGAGUGUCGUCCAAAUCUGGUGCCAGAAGACUCGGUAAGACCAGAGACGCAAACGUUAAUCAUCAUAAACAGGCGUAAAGGGUUUGUAGGCAGCUUUUAUAAGGUUAUGAUUUUAACAAAAUAUAAAAUAAUCUACAUUGAAAGCUAGAAUCAAAAAGAGGUUAUAGUGUAUAACGCCUAGAGGAGGGCUGAUAUCCAUAGAUCCUAGGCAGAAUACUCAGGGCGAAGGCCACUCUCCAUUAAUGAUUGACGCUGAGAAACGAAGGUUAGGGUAGGAAAUAGGAUUAGAUACCCCGGUACUCCUUUCUGUAAACGAUGAAUGGUAGUCAUUAGUUUAAUUAAAAUAACUAGAGGCGAAGUUAACACAAUAACCAUUCCGCCUUGUGAGUACUACUGCAAAGUAGAAAACAAAAAAAUUAGUCGGUCUCGAAGCAAACGGAGUGAAGCAUGUUAUUUA